AGAGCGUUUAGCUUAUCGAAUGAAUAAAAAAACAACGGGAGUUAUUAGAGCGUUUUCACUCCACCGCUGCCUUCAUCGCCAUUCUCUCUCCUCCUCCUCUCAUCCUCUCACUCUCCUUCAUCAUUGCCGCUGCCGUCCUUGCCAUUCUCUUCAAUUCCUGUGAGGUCACCAGAAAAAUUCUGAUUGAGCGAGGCGAUUUGAGGGGACUCUCUGCUCUUUCUCAAACUAGACAGCAGAGCUGCUUGUUGAUGCUUCUCAAUCAUCUGAACGACCAAUAUCUCCAACUCUCUUUGGAAUUUUCUUCGAGGAGUUGGUUUUGGUUGCUGACGGUGGGUGAGAGAAACGAAAGAGAGAGAUGGAAACCAGAAAGAAGAGUAAGAGGACGGGAAAAGAAAAGGGAGAACAGGGAGAUGAAAAGAGGAAGAAGAAAGAAAAGAGAGGGGAGGGGAGCACAACUAGUUGAAAAAGAAAGAAGAAUGAGAAGUACAAAGGGGGAGACGGAGAGGGAUUGAGAAGAGAGAAUUUGUGAGUUUGG
Long non-coding RNA from Rosa rugosa (rugosa rose), 535 nucleotides. RefSeq lists it as uncharacterized. The record is from RefSeq and is a predicted model, not a curated record. The transcript has 3 exons. NCBI's taxonomy places the organism in Eukaryota, Viridiplantae, Streptophyta, Magnoliopsida, Rosales, Rosaceae.